UCAGGGCUGCCCAGGUGAGACUUUUGCUUUCCAUUUCCCAGCUGGGUCCAUCAGGCCAGAGGCUGCUGCUCCUUCUGACUCAGAUGUGCAGCUGUGACCGGACCUACACAGCUAAGGACAUCUGAGUCCUGAACAAACUCAUCCCUGGAGAGACUCCUUGCAUCCUGACAGUGGACCAGGACUGUGGCUGCCUAGACCAGCUGGGGUCAAAUGUUGACUUGGAGGUACAGGAAGCCUGGAGACUGAGCCACAAGCUGUCUCUGAAUGGUGCAGCCAGGGUGAACAGUGUGAGUGCUCCCUCUCCUCCAAUUGGGGCAGUAAGGGAACUGAUGCCAGACAACGAAGCACAGGAAUUGACAGCGAGUCCCAGGCCUGAGCUCAGGGUUGAGAGGCAGCUGCUCAUUGCU
This is a non-coding RNA of Myodes glareolus (Bank vole), 407 nucleotides long. The record is from RefSeq and is a predicted model, not a curated record. NCBI's taxonomy places the organism in Eukaryota, Metazoa, Chordata, Mammalia, Rodentia, Cricetidae.